AGUGAACGCUGGCGGUAGGCCUAACACAUGCAAGUCGAACGGCAGCACAGUAAGAGCUUGCUCUUACGGGUGGCGAGUGGCGGACGGGUGAGGAAUACAUCGGAAUCUACUUUUUCGUGGGGGAUAACGUAGGGAAACUUACGCUAAUACCGCAUACGACCUACGGGUGAAAGCAGGGGAUCUUCGUACCUUGCGCGAUUGAAUGAGCCGAUGUCGGAUUAGCUAGUUGGCGGGGUAAAGGCCCACCAAGGCGACGAUCCGUAGCUGGUCUGAGAGGAUGAUCAGCCACACUGGAACUGAGACACGGUCCAGACUCCUACGGGAGGCAGCAGUGGGGAAUAUUGGACAAAGGGCGCAAGCCUGAUCCAGCCAUACCGCGUGGGUGAAGAAGGCCUUCGGGUUGUAAAGCCCUUUUGUUGGGAAAGAAAAGCAGCAGGUUAAUACCCCGAUGUUCUGACGGUACCCAAAGAAUAAGCACCGGCUAACUUCGUG
Molecule: ribosomal RNA, 492 nt
Filed under: uncultured bacterium
Lineage: Bacteria
Description: partial 16S ribosomal RNA
Rfam family: Bacterial small subunit ribosomal RNA
Source: RNAcentral